This 778-nucleotide long non-coding RNA is filed under the name Homo sapiens (human). RNAcentral describes it as "non-protein coding lnc-THUMPD1-3:1". Lineage: Eukaryota; Metazoa; Chordata; Mammalia; Primates; Hominidae. The record is from RNAcentral.
GCAUUGAUAGUCAUAUUUGGUUUCCAGUUACUAUAAAAUGUUUGGUUUCUCAAUAACAUUAAUAUUUUCCUAGAAUAUAGAAAAUAUAGUCCUUGUAAUUUAACAUGUUACUCUUCUUUCUGAAAUAAGGUUUUACUGGGUGUUUAAGAAAUCAUUUUGAAAUUUAGUCAUCAACCUAACUUGUUAAUAGUAAGUUAUAUAAAGUGAAUAAUUUUUAGAUAUUAGCAGAGCAAUGAAAUCAUACUGUUCUAUUUUAUAUGAUCUUCUAGCAUUCUAUUUGUAAAUGGUGGCAGCAUAAGUAAAAAAUGCUGGCAUCAUUGACUUUGUUCUAUUUUAAUGUACCUAAUGCAGACUGGGACUUGGGGGUUUGCCUGGAGUAUGAGUGUAAAAGAAAGCAGCUGUUAAAACCUGUGUUUUUAAAUUCUUGGAUUGAUCUCAGAGCAACUUACAAGCUUUUCUAUAGGAGAAAACCAAAAGGACUAAGUGGUGCCUUGCAGGAAGUAGGAAUAGAAUUCUCAGGACGAGAACAUUCUGGGUUGGACGAUUCUCGGAAUACUGCCCUUCUUGCUUGGAAAAUGAUCAGAGAUGGUUGUGUAAUGAAAAUUACAAGGUCGUUGAACAAGGGUCCCUUCCUCUUGCCUUCGUGGACCUGGAACAGUGAUCUGGCCUCAGGGGACCAGCAUGCUUUUCUUCAGCAAGAAUUUGGGUAUUUCUUCAAUUUCUUGUCUUUUGGAUUACUAUUCAGGACAACCAAUCUCUCAAGAAAGGGUCAAGUACC